ACAAUUGGUGGUUCAGUGGUAGAAUGCUCGCCUGCCACGCCUGCGGCCCGGGUUCAAUUCCCGGUCGAUGCA
Molecule: transfer RNA, 72 nt
Filed under: Cordylochernes scorpioides
Lineage: Eukaryota; Metazoa; Arthropoda; Arachnida; Pseudoscorpiones; Chernetidae
Description: tRNA-Gly
Rfam family: tRNA
About the family: Transfer RNA (tRNA) molecules are approximately 80 nucleotides in length. Their secondary structure includes four short double-helical elements and three loops (D, anti-codon, and T loops).
Source: RNAcentral